Molecule: ribosomal RNA, 821 nt
Filed under: Fructilactobacillus sanfranciscensis
Lineage: Bacteria; Bacillati; Bacillota; Bacilli; Lactobacillales; Lactobacillaceae
Description: bacterial SSU rRNA
Rfam family: Bacterial small subunit ribosomal RNA
Source: RNAcentral
AUGAUUUUGGAUCCGACUGAGUGGCGAACUGGUGAGUAACACGUGGGUAACCUGCCCAGAAGAAGGGGAUAACACCUGGAAACAGAUGCUAAUACCGUAUAACAACAAGAACCACAUGGUUCUUGUUUGAAAGCUGGCCUUUGUGCUAGUGCUUCUGGAUGGACCCGCGGCGUAUUAGCUAGUUGGUGAGAUAAUAGCUCACCAAGGCAAUGAUACGUAGCAGACCUGAGAGGGUAAUCUGCCACAAUGGGACUGAGACACGGCCCAUACUCCUACGGGAGGCAGCAGUAGGGAAUCUUCCACAAUGGACGAAAGUCUGAUGGAGCAACGCCGCGUGAGUGAAGAAGGGUUUCGGCUCGUAAAACUCUGUUGUUAGAGAAGAACAGCCGUGAGAGCAACUGCUCACGGUAUGACGGUAUCUAACCAGAAAGUCACGGCUAACUACGUGCCAGCAGCCGCGGUAAUACGUAGGUGGCAAACGUUGUCCGGAUUUAUUGGGCGUAAAGGGAGCGCAGGCGGUUUAUUAAGUCUGAUGUGAAAGCCUUCGGCUUAACCGGAGAAGUGCAUCGGAAACUGAUAAACUUGAGUGCAGAAAAGGAUAGUGGAACUUCAUGUGUAGCGGUGAAAUGCGUAGAUAUAUGAAGGAACACCAGUGGCGAAGGCGGCUAUCUGGUCUGUAACUGACGCUGAGGCUCGAAAGCAUGGGUAGCAAACAGGAUUAGAUACCCUGGUAGUCCAUGCCGUAAACGAUGAAUGCUAGGUGUUGGAAGGUUUCCGCCUUUCAGUGCCGCAGCUAACGCAUUAAGCAUUCCGCCUGGGGA